Molecule: ribosomal RNA, 785 nt
Filed under: uncultured Haemophilus sp.
Lineage: Bacteria; Pseudomonadati; Pseudomonadota; Gammaproteobacteria; Pasteurellales; Pasteurellaceae
Description: bacterial SSU rRNA
Rfam family: Bacterial small subunit ribosomal RNA
Source: RNAcentral
GAGAAAGCUUGCUUUCUUGCUGACGAGUGGCGGACGGGUGAGUAAUGCUUGGGAAUCUGGCUUAUGGAGGGGGAUAACGACGGGAAACUGUCGCUAAUACCGCGUAGUGUCGAGAGACGAAAGUGCGGGACUGAGAGGCCGCAUGCCAUAGGAUGAGCCCAAGUGGGAUUAGGUAGUUGGUGGGGUAAAGGCCUACCAAGCCUGCGAUCUCUAGCUGGUCUGAGAGGAUGACCAGCCACACUGGAACUGAGACACGGUCCAGACUCCUACGGGAGGCAGCAGUGGGGAAUAUUGCGCAAUGGGGGGAACCCUGACGCAGCCAUGCCGCGUGAAUGAAGAAGGCCUUCGGGUUGUAAAGUUCUUUCGGUAUUGAGGAAGGUUGAUGUGUUAAUAGCACAUCAAAUUGACGUUAAAUACAGAAGAAGCACCGGCUAACUCCGUGCCAGCAGCCGCGGUAAUACGGAGGGUGCGAGCGUUAAUCGGAAUAACUGGGCGUAAAGGGCACGCAGGCGGUUAUUUAAGUGAGGUGUGAAAGCCCUGGGCUUAACCUAGGAAUUGCAUUUCAGACUGGGUAACUAGAGUACUUUAGGGAGGGGUAGAAUUCCACGUGUAGCGGUGAAAUGCGUAGAGAUGUGGAGGAAUACCGAAGGCGAAGGCAGCCCCUUGGGAAUGUACUGACGCUCAUGUGCGAAAGCGUGGGGAGCAAACAGGAUUAGAUACCCUGGUAGUCCACGCUGUAAACGCUGUCGAUUUGGGGGUUGGGGUUUAACUCUGGCGCCCGUAGC